GCUGGCGUAGCUCAGUGGUAGAGCGGCUCACUCGUAAUGAGCAGGUCGUGGGUUCAAUCCCCACCGCCAGCU
RNAcentral lists this transfer RNA (72 nucleotides) under Bacillota bacterium. RNAcentral's name for it is "Firmicutes bacterium (hot springs metagenome) tRNA-Thr". It matches the Rfam family "tRNA". Rfam says of the family: Transfer RNA (tRNA) molecules are approximately 80 nucleotides in length. Their secondary structure includes four short double-helical elements and three loops (D, anti-codon, and T loops). The record is from RNAcentral. Lineage: Bacteria; Bacillati; Bacillota.